RNAcentral lists this ribosomal RNA (433 nucleotides) under uncultured bacterium. Its description in RNAcentral is "partial 16S ribosomal RNA". It matches the Rfam family "Bacterial small subunit ribosomal RNA", at positions 29 to 507 of the family's 1533-position model. The record is from RNAcentral.
AACGAACGCUGGCGGCAUGCCUAACACAUGCAAGUCGAACGAGAUCUUCGGAUCUAGUGGCGCACGGGUGCGUAACGCGUGGGAAUCUGCCCCUUGCUUCGGAAUAACAGUGAGAAAUUACUGCUAAUACCGGAUGAUGCCUCCGGACCAAAGAUUUAUCGGCAAGGGAUGAGCCCGCGUAGGAUUAGGUAGUUGGUGGGGUAAUGGCCUACCAAGCCGACGAUCCUUAGCUGGUCUGAGAGGAUGAUCAGCCACACUGGGACUGAGACACGGCCCAGACUCCUACGGGAGGCAGCAGUGGGGAAUAUUGGACAAUGGGCGAAAGCCUGAUCCAGCAAUGCCGCGUGAGUGAUGAAGGCCUUAGGGUUGUAAAGCUCUUUUACCAGGGAUGAUAAUGACAGUACCUGGAGAAUAAGCGCCGGCUAACUCCGUG